Molecule: ribosomal RNA, 497 nt
Filed under: uncultured bacterium
Lineage: Bacteria
Description: partial 16S ribosomal RNA
Rfam family: Bacterial small subunit ribosomal RNA
Source: RNAcentral
GAUGAACGCUGGCGGCGUGCCUAAUACAUGCAAGUCGAGCGAACAGACGAGGAGCUUGCUCCUCUGACGUUAGCGGCGGACGGGGGAGUAACACGUGGAUAACCUACCUAUAAGGCUGGGAUAACUUCGGGAAACCGGAGCUAAUACCGGAUAAUAUAUUGAACCGCAUGGUUCAAUAGUGAAAGACGGUUUUGCUGUCACUUAUAGAUGGAUCCGCUCCGCAUUAGCUAGUUGGUAAGGUAACGGCUUACCAAGGCAACGAUGCGUAGCCGACCUGAGAGGGUGAUCGGCCACACUGGAACUGAGACACGGUCCAGACUCCUACGGGAGGCAGCAGUAGGGAAUCUUCCGCAAUGGGCGAAAGCCUGACGGAGCAACGCCGCGUGAGUGAUGAAGGUCUUCGGAUCGUAAAACUCUGUUAUUAGGGAAGAACAAAUGUGUAAGUAACUAUGCACGUAUUGACGGUACCUAAUCAGAAAGCCACGGCUAACUACGUG